GAUGAACGCUGGCGGCGUGCCUAAUACAUGCAAGUCGAGCGAACGGACGAGAAGCUUGCUUCUCUGAUGUUAGCGGCGGACGGGUGAGUAACACGUGGAUAACCUACCUAUAAGACUGGGAUAACUUCGGGAAACCGGAGCUAAUACCGGAUGAUAUUUUGAACCGCAUGGUUCAAAAGUGAAAGACGGUCUUGCUGUCACUUAUAGAUGGAUCCGCGCUGCAUUAGCUAGUUGGUAAGGUAACGGCUUACCAAGGCAACGAUGCAUAGCCGACCUGAGAGGGUGAUCGGCCACACUGGAACUGGGACACGGUCCAGACUCCUACGGGAGGCAGCAGUAGGGAAUCUUCCGCAAUGGGCGAAAGCCUGGCGGAGCAACGCCGCGUGAGUGAUGAAGGUCUUCGGAUCGUAAAACUCUGUUAUUAGGGAAGAACAUAUGUGUAAGUAACUGUGCACAUCUUGACGGUACCUAAUCAGAAAGCCACGGCUAACUACGUG
Molecule: ribosomal RNA, 497 nt
Filed under: uncultured bacterium
Lineage: Bacteria
Description: partial 16S ribosomal RNA
Rfam family: Bacterial small subunit ribosomal RNA
Source: RNAcentral